UACGUAGGGUGCGAGCGUUAAUCGGAAUUACUGGGCGUAAAGCGUGCGCAGGCGGCUGUGCAAGACAGGUGUGAAAUCCCCGGGCUUAACCUGGGAACUGCGCUUCUAACUGGCAGGCUUGAGUGUGGCAGAGGGGGGUGGAAUUCCACGUGUAGCAGUGAAAUGCGUAGAGAUGUGGAGGAACACCGAUGGCGAAGGCAGCCCCCUGGGCUAACACUGACGCUCAUGCACGAAAGCGUGGGGAGCAAACAGG
This 253-nucleotide ribosomal RNA is filed under the name uncultured bacterium. RNAcentral describes it as "partial 16S ribosomal RNA". It matches the Rfam family "Bacterial small subunit ribosomal RNA", at positions 524 to 776 of the family's 1533-position model. The record is from RNAcentral.